This 1155-nucleotide ribosomal RNA is filed under the name Triticum aestivum (bread wheat). Its description in RNAcentral is "partial small subunit ribosomal RNA". Lineage: Eukaryota; Viridiplantae; Streptophyta; Magnoliopsida; Poales; Poaceae. The record is from RNAcentral.
AUGUCUAAGGGACUGAGUGAGAUGUUGUGGACCAGAAAUUUAUUAGAAGAAUUGAAGAUAUUGAAGACUAGUUGUAUGAAUGUGUGGUGUGAUAACAAAUCAGCAAUCAACAUAGCACACAAUCCAGUACAACACGAUAGAACCAAGCAUGUGGAAAUAGACAGAUUCUUCAUCAAAGAAAAGCUUGAUGCUGGGAUCAUUAAGAUUGAGCAUGGCAGCCCGGUGCAUGUAGCUCCCGCUUGCGCAGGGUCCGGGGAAGGGUCCGACCACUUUGGGUCUAUAGUACGCAGCCUUUCCCUACAUUUCUGUAAGAGGCUGUUUCCAGGACUUGAACCCGUGACCUCAUGGUCACAAGGCAGCAGCUUUACCACUGCGCCAAGGCUCCCCUUCCAUGAACCCGCGGAAAACCCCGAGGGCCCGUUUGAUAGGCGAGGUUACAUGGGCCAAAUCCCCUCAAUCCCCCCUUCGACCCACUUCCUCCCACGCGCCCCCUCGAGGAUUUGCUCGCCCGACUCACGCCGCCGCCCGACCCGAGACGCCGCCGCCGACUCCUCCCCAAGACGCCUCGCCGCCUCGACGCCGGCGAUCUCCUCCGGCAUACUGGACUUCUCCCCGGUGGUUAGUAACCGCAGCCCCUCCCCUCCCCCCUCCUCUCCAUGGCUGGCACCUCCCGCACGCCCUCCGUCCGCCUCGUCCUCACCGGCAAGCACGCCAAGAACGGCGUCUCCGACCCCCAGCUCCACAUUUAUUGUGAUCUUGAAUAUUCUUCUGUUCGUUUUCUUGGUUGUUAGUAAAUCAUGGCGUCUUUCACUAGUUCUUUCAGAACCAGCAGCCUGGGUUCUUGUUGGGGUGGACGAGUUGCCUCCAUCUUGGGAUCCAAUUGUCACGCCUAAGUUCGUCAUUGUUGUAAUUUCCCCCACCGCAACAACUGGUGUGUUGCGGGAUCUGGAUCUGGGUCCCCACGAGAGCAGUGGUCACCCAUGCUCCUCCCGAGCUUCCCGUCAAGGCGGCGCCUCCUCGCGCUGCUUCGACCGCCGCCGGCAACACGCCGACGAGCCGCCCGCCUCCAUCAUGAACGUCGACCGUCACGGUGCGACCGAACUCAAGCUGCAUCUGCCGUCCCGGGGAAGCAUCGGUGUCCGCGUCCACCGCUAG